Molecule: ribosomal RNA, 253 nt
Filed under: uncultured bacterium
Lineage: Bacteria
Description: partial 16S ribosomal RNA
Rfam family: Bacterial small subunit ribosomal RNA
Source: RNAcentral
UACGUAGGGGGCGAGCGUUGUCCGGAAUUACUGGGCGUAAAGGGCUCGUAGGCGGCCAACUAAGUCAGACGUGAAAUCCCUCGGCUUAACCGGGGAACUGCAUCUGAUACUGGAUGGCUUGAGUUCGGGAGAGGGAUGCGGAAUUCCAGGUGUAGCGGUGAAAUGCGUAGAUAUCUGGAGGAACACCGGUGGCGAAGGCGGCAUCCUGGACCGACACUGACGCUGAGGAGCGAAAGCCAGGGGAGCAAACGGG